Nematostella vectensis (starlet sea anemone) is the source of this 2169-nucleotide long non-coding RNA. RefSeq lists it as uncharacterized. The record is from RefSeq and is a predicted model, not a curated record. Lineage: Eukaryota; Metazoa; Cnidaria; Anthozoa; Actiniaria; Edwardsiidae. The transcript is spliced from 3 exons.
CUCUCUCUCUUGGUGGUACGAAAUACGCGUGAAAAAUGGCUUUUUUUAAAAGCGAUGAUGAAUCAAGGAUGUCAGUUUCAUCGGAGUGGUCAAUGAGGGCCCACUCCCCACUCCGCCUCCGGUCAAGGAGUAGCUCGAGAGGCCCCCGACAGACAGAGGCCCUAUGGCGCCAGCCUACAAAUGCAAUAAGACGAAAAAAAUGUAGGGGUAAGUAAAUAUUCACAAGUUAUAUGUAAUGUUUGAUAUUUUGUGACACAUUUCUUAAGAGGGGCUUUCUGCAGGAUUCGACUCUCAAGAUAAAAAAAAUCCGAUUCUCUGACAAAUUGAAGGCCCUGGUUAGCUUGUUUAAAAAAUAUAAAUUUGAUUUUAUUCGGAUUUUUAUUUAUUUAUUUUUUUGAAUUUUUUCGUAUUUUCCCCCUCUGGGCCCGAAACCCAACGCUAAAAUUGAAUGGUUUACGGAACGUCUUUUUUUAGCAUAAUGAAUGCGUUGAUAGAAAUGUUGACUAAGAGCACUACCUAACCUAUUCAAGUGUUUAUUAGUGGUGUUCAAUUUAUUUGUAAUCUAAUCUUGAUUUUUUUUUUUUCCAUUUUUACGUUUCACAAGUUUAUUCUUAAAGAGAACGUGACACGAAAUUCUCUUUUGACAAAUUGACAAGUUAGUAUAGUAGCGUUAUAUCCCAAAAAUAAUUCCUCCAAUUUUCGAUACUUGAUUUAAACGGAAACCUGAUUUUUUAACUUUUAAAAAUAAGCAAUUUUGGCCAAUUUUCGCAUGAAACCGGCGACAUCCGAAUAUCUAAUUUGCAUAUUACUUGUGACGUCAAGAGUUGUACAAAUGGGUGAUAAACAUGAGACAUUUCCAUACAAAAUAGGACGCCCCCCACCCAAAAUACACACAUAAUUGAUCGUGGGGCCCGAAUCUUUCCCAGAAAAUACUGAGUGUAACCUGAGCAAAGUACCCAAAAGGAAUCCUGCAGCAAUUGGAGCAGUGAUUUUUUAAAAGCUUUUUAACACAAUUUGCGUGCGAAUCACCCAACAUUUCGGCAAAAGUCACUCGAUCACAAUUGUGAUCAAAGCAAUAAGAUAUACCCUGUAAAUAAUUGCGACACGAUAUUACAAGGCAAAAAGUAACACAUCUAUAUUUCUGCAAAGCAGAAUGCAUAUUUUGAAAGCGUCUAUGCUUUCAAAUAAUACAGAGAAAAACAUGUUUAUAUUUUUUUAUGUCCAAUUUAUUGCGAUUUCUCACAAGAACAAAACAUGCUCUAAGUAAAGCAUUUUUACCCACUAAAUAAUGAAACCUAUAGAUUACAAGGGAAGCAAGCUAUAAAUCAUCUACACAAACAGAUAAAAAAACGUAAAUAUAUCAAACUCAAGGAGAAACGACUGGAAAUCUAGAAUCUAAAAAGUAGGUUGAGAUGCGAGGACAAAAACUCAUCAAUGAAUGAACGGCAAAAAAAAAAUCGCUUGUAUUCAAUUCUCUUUUAAUAAACGAACAAACAAAUGCAGUAUAUGGUACUAGCAUUAUAAUCCCUGAAUAGUUCGAAUGUUUUUUAAAGAAAAACUGCCACCAAGACUUGGUAUAUGUGAAACGAAGUGAAUGCACAACAACCGCACAAAUGUACAUUUACUAGCAAAACAAAGCGAUAAGAAAACACUCAAGAAAACUUGCACCCUUCACCGUGCUUUUCUUGGCUCUAGAACAAAUUCAAAUUUUAUGUUAACCCUUCCUCCCUCCCGAUUGUAAUGACUGAUAAUUGUCGAUAAUUCGACUGUUCGUUUUGUAGAGAAAUAUCAUUCCUUGAAUGAUUGAAUCAAAUCCUGUUGUCAGUCGGCGCGGUAAAACAAACUAUUUCGCUUUUCCGGUUUGGCAAUCUGUUGUACUUUGAGGCUCAACAAUAUAUCAGAUUAUUACAAAUGCAUGUGGUUCUUUCAACAUUUUCCACCCCGUGGUGCUGUUUUAAGGUGAACUGGUAUUUUUGCGGGUUUAUUAACUUUAGUGAAGUUGUUCGCCCCGUCUUCGUUUUAUGGAUGUUCGCAUUCGCACGUGGAAUAAAUCGUAUAUCUACAACUCAGUUUGCGAAUAAAAAUGCAUUGAAAUGAAGUCCAAUGAAAUAGAACAUAUUCUAAUAAUCAAACCAUUCAUCCUUACCGGUAAAAAUGAAGCGUAAUGAU